GAUGAACGCUGGCGGCGUGCUUAACACAUGCAAGUCGAACGGGAAUUAUUUUAUUGAAACUUCGGUCGAUUUAAUUUAAUUCUAGUGGCGGACGGGUGAGUAACGCGUGGGUAACCUGCCUUAUACAGGGGGAUAACAGUCAGAAAUGGCUGCUAAUACCGCAUAAGCGCACAGAGCUGCAUGGCUCAGUGUGAAAAACUCCGGUGGUAUAAGAUGGACCCGCGUUGGAUUAGCUUGUUGGCAGGGUAACGGCCUACCAAGGCGACGAUCCAUAGCCGGCCUGAGAGGGUGAACGGCCACAUUGGGACUGAGACACGGCCCAGACUCCUACGGGAGGCAGCAGUGGGGAAUAUUGCACAAUGGGGGAAACCCUGAUGCAGCGACGCCGCGUGAAGGAAGAAGUAUCUCGGUAUGUAAACUUCUAUCGGCAGGGAAGAUAGUGACGGUACCUGACUAAGAAGCCCCGGCUAACUACGUG
This 478-nucleotide ribosomal RNA is filed under the name uncultured bacterium. Its description in RNAcentral is "partial 16S ribosomal RNA". It matches the Rfam family "Bacterial small subunit ribosomal RNA", at positions 28 to 507 of the family's 1533-position model. The record is from RNAcentral.